AAGCCUAGUUCACCUGGAGGAAGUAUGGUACAGAUGACAGACUAUUUGAGGUUGGAUAUUCCCAAAUUUGAGACUGGUGAUGACCCUUUGGAGUAUCUUAGAACGGUCAAGAUGAUAACUGAUGAGUUGGGAGCCAGUGAGAGUAGAGCCAUUCAGAUGGCAGGGGUCACAUUAAAAUGUAAGAAGGCAAGGGAAUGGUUCAAACAGUAUGUGGACCCGAGGGUAG
RNAcentral lists this long non-coding RNA (226 nucleotides) under Manihot esculenta (cassava). RNAcentral describes it as "long non-coding RNA (MESC_LNC003442)". Lineage: Eukaryota; Viridiplantae; Streptophyta; Magnoliopsida; Malpighiales; Euphorbiaceae. The record is from RNAcentral.